Molecule: long non-coding RNA, 511 nt
Organism: Carya illinoinensis
Lineage: Eukaryota; Viridiplantae; Streptophyta; Magnoliopsida; Fagales; Juglandaceae
Exons: 3
Source: RefSeq, a predicted model, not a curated record
UUCAUUCUUGUUCUAAGGGUUUUUGGCACUCACCAUUUCUCUCCAAGUCUUUGCACUUUCUCACCAACCAAACACCACUAUUUCUCUCUAACUAUUUCUAGAAUCAUAAGGAUUUCUCCUACAUCAUUCGACUAGAGGAAGCACCCAAGGAGAUUUUGCAAAGUUUAUACAAUCGGAUUUUUGAAGCUAGUGGGGCCUAUGUUGAGGGAAAGAAGCUUGCUAGAGACACUGGACUUAUAUAACCUAAGUUACGAAAGUCGUAUGGAGUCUGUUGGAUUUUAUCCCUUGAUGGAUCUUUGGUUUUGGGGAGGCAGCAAAGCGAGAACUUAGGAAAGUUUCUAUGGCCCUCUACUACUGAAUGGGCCUAAAACAAUAUCUUUUGGUGAUAGUAUUUUGAGGAUAUUUUGGAAAAACAGUAUUUUGAUGGCCCCUUUGUUUUGGGGAAAUGGUUUUGAAACAAUUAUGUCUUUUGGAAAGACUUGCUUAUGGAAGUGUUAUCUUUUGGGAUUUU